AACGCACAUUGCGCCCUCUGGUAUUCCGGAGGGCAUGCCUGUUCGAGCGUCAUUACACCCCUCAAGCUUCUUUUUUUGCUUGGUGUUGGGAGCACGCCCCCGGGUUGCGGGGCGCUCCCGAAAAUCAGCGGCGGUGCAGCCGAUAUCUCUAGCGCAGUGACAUUUAGAUCUCGCUACGGGUAUUUUAGGCAGAUACCAUGCCGAAAUUUUCAAAAUAUUUCAAAAAUUGACCUCGGAUCAGGUAGGAAUACCCGCUGAACUUAA
Molecule: unclassified non-coding RNA, 264 nt
Filed under: uncultured fungus
Lineage: Eukaryota; Fungi
Description: sequence contains ITS2
Rfam family: 5.8S ribosomal RNA (bases 1-52)
Source: RNAcentral